ACGCCAGACUCCUACGGGAGGCAGCAGUAGGGAAUUUUCGUCAAUGGGCGCAAGCCUGAACGAGCGAUGCCGCGUGAGUGAAGAAGGCCUUCGGGUCGUAAAGCUCUGUUGCGGGGGAAAAAAGGCAGCAUCAGGAAAUGGGUGCUGACUGAUGGUGCCCCGCCAGAAAGUCACGGCUAACUCCGUGCCAGCAGCCGCGGUAAUACGGAGGAUGCGAGCGUUAUCCGGAUUUAUUGGGUUUAAAGGGUGCGUAGGCGGAUUUUUAAGUCAGCGGUAAAAUGUCCGGGCUCAACCCGGGCCGGCCGUUGAAACUGGGGAUCUUGAGUGGGCGAGAAGUAUGCGGAAUGCGUGGUGUAGCGGUGAAAUGCAUAGAUAUCACGCAGAACUCCGAUUGCGAAGGCAGCAUACCGGCGCCCGACUGACGCUGAGGCACGAAAGCGUGGGGAUCGAACAGGAUUAGAUACCCGAGUA
RNAcentral lists this ribosomal RNA (471 nucleotides) under uncultured bacterium. RNAcentral's name for it is "bacterial SSU rRNA". It matches the Rfam family "Bacterial small subunit ribosomal RNA", at positions 328 to 792 of the family's 1533-position model. The record is from RNAcentral.